RNAcentral lists this long non-coding RNA (3340 nucleotides) under Homo sapiens (human). RNAcentral describes it as "HSALNT0392692". The record is from RNAcentral. Lineage: Eukaryota; Metazoa; Chordata; Mammalia; Primates; Hominidae.
GUGGAGUUCACGUCUAGUAAGUUGGUCUUGAUUUUUUUUUUCUUUCAGAACCUUCUGGAUUUCAGCUUUGGCAAGCUUCCUCUGUUUCUGAGACACCUCCAUCACCUGGGUUACAAUCCCAUCCAUGAUUUUCCCCAUCUCCAGGCAUUUUUCAUGGAAAGCUCCUCAUGCUUUUUAAUUCCAGUUUAUCCAUUUGUGUGGCUUUAACCUCCACAUCCAGGUCUUUCUGGCUAAACUGCAGUAUAUCCACAAUGGGGCCAAUGGACACAUAAGGGAGGCCCUAUCACAGGAACACGAACACCCGGAGUCGCUAGAAAUCAGAUUCCACCGGCUUUGCUUCAGGCCGACUUCCUAAGGAAGGCAUGAUCCUUUGCACAUGGCCUGCUAUCAACAAUCCUCUACAAUGAUUCUCAGCAUCACCUAGGGAGCUUAUGUAAAAUCUCAAAUUCCUGGGCCCUAUCCCCAGAGUUUCUUAUCAAGUAAGUCUGCAUUGGGAUCUGAGGAUUUGCAUCUCUAACAAAAAUUCCUAGGCGAUGCUCACACUGUUGGUGUAAGGUUUCCUUGAUGGAGAACUAUCAAAGCAGUCAAAGCUAUCAAAAUAAAAAAGAAUUCUGAUUGGGUGCAGUGGCUCACACCUGUCAUUCCAGCACUUUGAGAGGCCAAGGUGGGCAGAUCACAUGAGGCCAGGAGUUCAAGACCAGCCUGGCCAACAUGGCAGAAACCCCAUCUCUACUAAAAAUACCAAAAUUAGCCGGGCAUGGUGGAACACACCUGCAAUCCCAGCUACUCGGGAGGCUGAGGCAAGAGAAUCGCUUGAACCUGGGAGGCAGAAGUUGCAGUGAAACAAGUUGGUGCCAAUGCAUUCCAGCCUGGAUGAUGGAGCGAGACUCUGUCUCAAGAAAAAAAAAACAAAAACAAAAACAGAACUCUGCCUCAUAGCGUCUUUUAAGUUAUACACUGGACCUAUCCUUUCCUCACUGACAGACAUUUUAAAAAUUUUUUGGUAAGGCCUAGUUCAUAUAAAAUGUAAUCCAAGCCAAAAGUUAACAAGAAUAAGGGGAGGAAAGGGGACUCCAAUAGCAGAGAAAGGUAUUUACCUGGGAUAUACACUGCAAGAAAAUCAAAGCUAUAAGAAACGUCCAUGAAUAGUAGCCAUAAGGCAUCAGAGUGAUAAAAUUCCUGUCCCUAGGAGGGAAUAUUGGAGUUUGCCAGAGAAACAGAAUGAGAGAGACAGAGAGGUUUAUUGUAGGAAUUGGCUCAUAUGAUUACGGAGGCUGAGAAGACCCACGAUCUGCCAUCUGCAAGCUGGAGAAUCAGGAAAGCUGGAGGUGUAAUUCAGUCAAGUCCAAUGGCCAGAGAAGCAAGUGUACUGAUAUCCAAGAGCAGGAGAAAAUAGAUGUCCCAGAACAAGCAGAGAGGCUGAUUUUGUCCUUCCUCUGCCUUUUUGUUUCAUAUGGGGCACUGAAUGGACUGAUGCCCAUCCACAUUAGUGAGGGUGGAUCUUCUUUACUCAGUCUACCAGUAGAAAUGUCAAUGACUUCCAGAAACACCCUCACCAACACACGUGGAAAUAAUGUUUUACCAGGUAUCUGGGCAUCCCUUGGUUCACUCAAGUUGACACAAAAUUAACCAUCACAGAAGGAGACUGGCCUUACUCUGAAAUUAGGAAACUAAAGAAGUGACCAGAAUGGAGACUAGGUAGAGACAACUAGUUCUCUACCAAACAUGUACAGUUAUUCGUUGGUAUCUGAAGGGGAUUGGUUCCAGGAACUCUCAGGGAUACCAAAAUCUGCAGGUGCUCAAGUCAUUUAUAUAAAAUAUUACAGUAUUUGCAUAUAACCUUUGCACAUCUUCCAUAUACUUUAAAUCAUCUCUACAUUACUUAUAAUAAUGAAUGUGUAAAUGCUAUGAAAAUAGUUACUACACUAUUGUUUAUUUGUAUUUUUAUUGAAUUGUUUUGGGGUGGGGGGCAGCUGUAUCUUUCUUAGUAAUAGAACCCCUGGUUUUAGCUGGGCACAUGACUGCCCUCAAUAAAGAUUAAAGUACCCCAGCCUUCCUUGAGAUUGUGGCCAUGUGACUGAACUUUAGACAGUGAGAUAUAAGCAGAUAUCUUCUGUGGCAGUGUUAGGAAACUAUUAAAGACAGUAAGAACAUUGCCCUUUGCCUUCUUUUUCCUUUCUUCAUUUUUCUGCCUGGAAUGCAAAUGUGAUGGCUAACACCCUAGCAGCCAUUUUAGAUUAUGAAGAUGAGAGUCACUCCCCAGGAAGGGUGGACCUGAAAGCUGGAUUCUAGAUGUGGAAUGACAAUACCAGCCCUGGACUACCUACCUGUAGGCUGUGUGUGUGUGUGUGUGAUUGACAGAGAGAGAGAGAGAUAGAUACCACAAGUAACACAAAGCAUCAUACCUGGGACUGGGAAGGUUAAUGUUUAAACAUUUUAAAUGUGGCAUUGGUUUGUUGAAGACAGUCAAGCAGUAGGUGCUGCAGGCUUUGUUGAGGCUAGAAAGCUGUUGGUCUUUAUUAGGUGAUGGCAAAACAAUGGAUCACAUUUUCAUGUGCUGUGUCUUGGGAGGCAAAUGAUGAGAAUGUAGGAUUGGGGAAAAUGGUAAGGAAAAUCCAAAAUGUUCAUGUUUUCUAACCCCUUCUUGCCAAUCUUAAAAGAAGGACAAACAGGCUAGAUUAAGCAAGUCUACAGUUACAAUUGGAAGGAAACACAGCCGUACUAAGGAAGUACUCUGUCUGUGGCCUGCAGUCUAGUUUGACUAGGUCCUGUAUUUGAGCUUUGAAAGAGUAAAGAAUACAAGUGCUCGUAUACCCCUGAAGUAGUUACCAGCAGUGACUGCAAGGAGGUAAUCUUAUGGGAUGAAACUAUAACUCUGUAUUAACCAUCAUAUAUAGCAUAUAUGUGUAUAUGUAUGUGUGUGUGUGUAUAUGUGUAUAUAAAUAUAUGUGUGUGUAUAUACACACAUGUACACACCCUACAACCCAGUGAUUUCAAAAAAUUAAACAUUUGUUUAGCUCAUGAAUCUGUGGGUUGGGUGAACAUUUCUAUUGGUCUUGGCUGGGCUCACCUGUACCCAGUCAGCUGCAGGGUCUAGCUCUUCUUAUCUUGGCUGGGAUCUCACACAUGUCUAGGAUCAGCUGCUUUACUAGUCUAGGAUUGUCUUGGCUGAGACAGGUGGACUACUCAGUUCUCCUCCACUGCCUUAUCCUUCAGCUGGCCAGCCCAGAAAUGUUGCCAUGUUUACAGCAUAAGAGCAAGCAAGAAAGAAUAAUAUGCAACCACUUUUCCAAGCCUAAGGUGAAAGGGCGGGCAGAACCUGUGGUGUUAGGAGGCAACU